AAAAUACUAUGUGCUUUCAUGUCUCUUUUGAGUCAGAAAUCUGUAUUAGUAUUUCUCUUUCCUUUUUUUUUUUUAGAUGAAGUCUUGCUCUGUCGCCCAGGCUGGAGUGCAGUGGCCUGAUCUUAGCUCACUGCAACCUCUGCCUCCUGGAUUCAAGUGACUCUCCUGCCUCAGUCUCCUGAGAAUGAGAGGCCCACAGCUCCACGUGAAUGUCACUAUUUUGGAAGUCGUGUUUCUUAGCUUCCUUGAAGCAAGGAGCUCUCCCUCAAUAUGUACCGAUAAGCGAAAACCUGGCUUCUGCAAAUGUUCUGCUAUGGAGGAUCUCUUAGUUCUCCUCAUCCCAUGGAAUGGGUACUUGGAAGUAGCACAUUACACCAGAGUAAUAAAAAUUCACUCGGGAAGCGCUACACGCAUUGUUUUAUCAGGGAAAGAUUUACGUCUUUAG
RNAcentral lists this long non-coding RNA (445 nucleotides) under Callithrix jacchus (white-tufted-ear marmoset). RNAcentral describes it as "lncRNA (ENSCJAG00000082813.1)". The record is from RNAcentral. Lineage: Eukaryota; Metazoa; Chordata; Mammalia; Primates; Cebidae.